This 513-nucleotide ribosomal RNA is filed under the name uncultured bacterium. RNAcentral's name for it is "bacterial SSU rRNA". It matches the Rfam family "Bacterial small subunit ribosomal RNA", at positions 39 to 507 of the family's 1533-position model. The record is from RNAcentral.
CGGCGUAGCCUAACGACGAUAGGCUAAAGUUCGAGCGGAGUACGAGUCGGACGGAAGCCUUACGGGACGGAAGAAUGGUUAGUACGUUAGGCGGCGGAGUGGGUGAGUAAUAGGUAGGUAACCUACCUCAUACUGAGGCAUAGCUGGGAGAAAUUCCAGGUAAUUCCUCAUGAGGUUAUAUGACACAUGUGAUAUAAUCAAAGGUAUCGCAAGGUACUGGUAUGAGAUGGGCUUACUGACCAUUAGCUAGUUGGUGAGAUAAGAGCUCACCAAGGCGAAGAUGGUUAGGGGUUUUGAGAGAGAGAUCCCCCACAUUGGAACUGAGAUACGGUCCAGACUCCUACGGGAGGCAGCAGUAGGGAAUAUUGGGCAAUGGGCGGAAGCCUGACCCAGCCAUGCCGCGUGAAGGAAGACGGCCUUAUGGGUUGUAAACUUCUUUACUAUGCGACUAACUAGAUUUACGAGAUAAUUCUAUAGAAUGUAGCAUAGCAAAAAGCACCGGCUAACUCCGUG